RNAcentral lists this ribosomal RNA (404 nucleotides) under Escherichia coli. Its description in RNAcentral is "partial 23S ribosomal RNA". It matches the Rfam family "Bacterial large subunit ribosomal RNA", at positions 1 to 444 of the family's 2925-position model. Lineage: Bacteria; Pseudomonadati; Pseudomonadota; Gammaproteobacteria; Enterobacterales; Enterobacteriaceae. The record is from RNAcentral.
GGUUAAGCGACUAAGCGUACACGGUGGAUGCCCUGGCAGUCAGAGGCGAUGAAGGACGUGCUAAUCUGCGAUAAGCGUCGGUGAGGUGAUAUGAACCGUUAUAACCGGCGAUUUCCGAAUGGGGAAACCCAGUGUGUUUCGACACACUAUCAUUAACUGAAUCCAUAGGUUAAUGAGGCGAACCGGGGGAACUGAAACAUCUAAGUACCCCGAGGAAAAGAAAUCAACCGAGAUUCCCCCAGUAGCGGCGAGCGAACGGGGAGGAGCCCAGAGCCUGAAUCAGUGUGUGUGUUAGUGGAAGCGUCUGGAAAGGCGCGCGAUACAGGGUGACAGCCCCGUACACAAAAAUGCACAUAUUGUGAGCUCGAUGAGUAGGGCGGGACACGUGGUAUCCUGUCUGAAUA